CUCUGGUCUGCGGGCUUAAGGGAUCAGGGCGGAAAGAG
Molecule: non-coding RNA, 38 nt
Filed under: Paenibacillus senegalensis JC66
Lineage: Bacteria; Bacillati; Bacillota; Bacilli; Caryophanales; Paenibacillaceae
Source: RNAcentral